CGGACGUGGAUAACCUGCCUCACACAGGGGGAUAACAGUUAGAAAUGACUGCUAAUACCGCAUAAGCGCACGGCAUCGCAUGAUGCAGUGUGAAAAACUCCGGUGGUGUGAGAUGGAUCCGCGUCUGAUUAGGUAGUUGGUGGGGUAACGGCCCACCAAGCCGACGAUCAGUAGCCGACCUGAGAGGGUGACCGGCCACAUUGGGACUGAGACACGGCCCAA
This 222-nucleotide ribosomal RNA is filed under the name uncultured bacterium. Its description in RNAcentral is "partial 16S ribosomal RNA". It matches the Rfam family "Bacterial small subunit ribosomal RNA", at positions 112 to 334 of the family's 1533-position model. The record is from RNAcentral.